This is a long non-coding RNA of Cottoperca gobio, 736 nucleotides long. RefSeq lists it as uncharacterized. NCBI's taxonomy places the organism in Eukaryota, Metazoa, Chordata, Actinopteri, Perciformes, Bovichtidae. The record is from RefSeq and is a predicted model, not a curated record. The transcript is spliced from 2 exons.
UCUGGUCAUGUCCCAACAGUAUUUUUGUUGUAUCCUCCUUGUGAGUGUUUUGACUUUGUGCUACCUUUUUUCUUUCUAGGACUUUAGUCCAGGAUCCUCUGGUAAGAAGACGGCCCUUGGACGUAAUGAGGAUGAUGGAUCUAGAGAAAGAGUGAAAGUUUAUUUGGAGGCCCACACGUCAUCCAAAAACAAACAAAAAGGAACCAUUUUGCCACAACAUGGUGGUAAAUCACCAUGAAGAAUCUUAAACGGAGUGAUAGUACAAACUGUUGGAGGAUUUUCUAAGCAAAGGAGCUUUUACCCGUCUCUCAGUCCACUGACGUAAUUGUCUAUCUGUGCAGGAAUGCCCUGUAAGAUGGAGUUCCUGAAGCUUUUGUUCUCCACCAACUUCCCAUCAUGCCCGUCAAUUACUGUCAGCUGCACCCCAUCUUCUGGUUGGUACAAUUUCCUGCCGUUCACCUGGAACAACAGAGCCAGCCAAUUACACUACAGUUCUGGGAUUUAUAAAUUGAUAGCACUGAACAUUGCAAUAAUGUAACAAGUGGAAACAUAGAGCUACAAGUCAUGGGUGUAGAAGUAAAACCUGUAAUGUAUCUCUGAAUGAUACUCUCUGAAUAUAAUUUAUGUUCAGUAGCCCAUAACCAGUGUGUUGGUAACUCUACACCUACUAAUCUAUCUGUAUGACACAAAGGAUACCUCAGUAAAGGCAAAGUCCUCCUUGAUGUGGAAGAAUCGA